RNAcentral lists this ribosomal RNA (576 nucleotides) under Triticum aestivum (bread wheat). RNAcentral describes it as "partial small subunit ribosomal RNA". Lineage: Eukaryota; Viridiplantae; Streptophyta; Magnoliopsida; Poales; Poaceae. The record is from RNAcentral.
AUGAACUUUAUAAGACGUUUUUUGGAGGAGCUGGAUAUAGUCGAAGCCCAAAAAUCGCAAUCGACACCAGCACCGGCGGCUCCCAGAGCGCGGACAUGGCUGCCACCUGAUGGAGAAGCAGUGAAGCUAAAUUGUGAUGGCGCCAUAUCAACUUUGGGCGACAAAGGAGCGGCGGCCGUGGUGUGCCGCGACAAGACUGGCAAGUUUCUUGGCGCUUCAGCUUUAGUUCUUGAGGGUUUGACUGAUCCGGCGAGCUUGGAGGCACAUGCAUGCAGUGAGGCCCUUGCCCUCGCUAAUGAUCUGAACCUGCAGGACCUGCUGAUUGCCUCAGACUGUUUAGAGGUGAUCUCCAACAUAAAUCAACAUGCAAUACCAGUGUACGCGUCAGUUCUGCAGGAGAUUAAAGUUACUAGGAACUUUUUCAAUUCAGUUAACUUUCGUUUUGAACGUAGAGAAAAUAAUUUUGAAGCCCACUCGGUUGCAAAAGGAGCUGCGUCUCUGCCGGUGGGCUGCCACGUGUGGCUAGGGAUCCUUCCUGAUAUUGCAUGUAUUCCGGAGGUGUUGAACUUUGAAUAA